GAUGAACGCUAGCGGCAAGCCUAACACAUGCAAGUCGAGGGGUAACUAGAGUGAUAGCAAUAUUACUUUGGCUAGACCGGCGCACGGGUGCGUAACACGUAUGCAACCUACCUUAUACUGGGGAGUAACUUCGAGAAAUCGGCGCUAAUACCCCAUAACACUGCGGAGAGGCAUCUCUUUGCAGUUAAAGCUCCGGCGGUAUAAGAUGGGCAUGCGUCCAAUUAGCUAGUUGGUGAGGUAACGGCUCACCAAGGCUACGAUUGGUAGGGGUUCUGAGAGGAUGAUCCCCCACACUGGUACUGAGACACGGACCAGACUCCUACGGGAGGCAGCAGUGAGGAAUAUUGCGCAAUGGACGAAAGUUGGACGCAGCCAUGCCGCGUGCAGGAUGACGGCCCUAUGGGUUGUAAACUGCUUUUGUACGGGAAUAAACCCUUCUACGUGUAGGAGGCUGAAGGUACCGUAAGAAUAAGCACCGGCUAACUCCGUGCCAGCCGCCGCGGUAA
This 506-nucleotide ribosomal RNA is filed under the name uncultured bacterium. Its description in RNAcentral is "partial 16S ribosomal RNA". It matches the Rfam family "Bacterial small subunit ribosomal RNA", at positions 28 to 523 of the family's 1533-position model. The record is from RNAcentral.